CACGGGUGAGUAACACGUAUCCAACCUGCCGUCUACUCUUGGACAGCCUUCUGAAAGGAAAGGAUUAAUACAAGAUGGCAUCAUGAGUCCGCAUGUUCACAUGAUUAAAGGUAUUCCGGUAGACGAUGGGGAUGCGUUCCAUUAGAUAGUAGGCGGGGUAACGGCCCACCUAGUCUUCGAUGGAUAGGGGUUCUGAGAGGAAGGUCCCCCACAUUGGAACUGAGACACGGUCCAA
This 235-nucleotide ribosomal RNA is filed under the name uncultured bacterium. RNAcentral's name for it is "partial 16S ribosomal RNA". It matches the Rfam family "Bacterial small subunit ribosomal RNA", at positions 102 to 334 of the family's 1533-position model. The record is from RNAcentral.